RNAcentral lists this transfer RNA (74 nucleotides) under Prasiola crispa. RNAcentral describes it as "tRNA-Arg". Lineage: Eukaryota; Viridiplantae; Chlorophyta; Trebouxiophyceae; Prasiolales; Prasiolaceae. The record is from RNAcentral.
UAUGCUUGGAAAGAUUCGAACUUUCACGCUUCAUAUCCGUAGUAUGAUACUCUAUCCAAUUAAGCCACAAGCAC